This 349-nucleotide long non-coding RNA is filed under the name Elaeis guineensis (African oil palm). RNAcentral describes it as "long non-coding RNA (EGUI_LNC029596)". Lineage: Eukaryota; Viridiplantae; Streptophyta; Magnoliopsida; Arecales; Arecaceae. The record is from RNAcentral.
CUUUGUGCUCCGACCCCACCCUAAAGCCCGAGGGUGGUGGCUCUUCAACCCCCGGAAGGGUCUUUCCUUUAUCACCGGUCUUCCAUCGUCCAUUCAUGGGUGGAAGAACCAAUUCUUCUUUGUUUCUUCUCCAUCUUCUUGGGGCUUUCCUUCUCACUGGGGCGUGCCCCGAACCGAAGCCAAUGACAACAGUCGGGUGGAAGCGGACGACCGGGAGGACUUCCACCGACUGAAAGAUAUGUCGGUCCCGAAGCAGAGGGAGCUUGUUACCGAACAAGCUCUCUAUGACGCCGACGUAAGCUUGGUCCCCCGACUAGGUAUCGUCCGAUUUUUCGGUCUCCUUUUCAUC